AUUGAACGCUGGCGGCAGGCCUAACACAUGCAAGUCGAGCGGAUGAAGGGAGCUUGCUCCUGGAUUCAGCGGCGGACGGGUGAGUAAUGCCUAGGAAUCUGCCUGGUAGUGGGGGAUAACGUCCGGAAACGGGCGCUAAUACCGCAUACGUCCUGAGGGAGAAAGUGGGGGAUCUUCGGACCUCACGCUAUCAGAUGAGCCUAGGUCGGAUUAGCUAGUUGGUGGGGUAAAGGCCUACCAAGGCGACGAUCGGUAACUGGCCUGAGAGGAUGAUCAGUCACACUGGACCUGAGACACGGACCAGACUCCAACGGGAGGCAGCAGUGGGGAAUAUUGCCCAAUGGGCGGAAGCCUGAUGCAGCAACGCCGCGUGCGGAAUGACGGCCUUCGUGGUGUAAACCGCUUUCGCCUGUGACGAUGCGUGAUUGACGGUAAUGGGUAAAGAAGCACCGGCUAACUACGUG
Molecule: ribosomal RNA, 464 nt
Filed under: uncultured bacterium
Lineage: Bacteria
Description: partial 16S ribosomal RNA
Rfam family: Bacterial small subunit ribosomal RNA
Source: RNAcentral